This 255-nucleotide unclassified non-coding RNA is filed under the name uncultured fungus. RNAcentral's name for it is "partial contains small subunit ribosomal RNA, internal transcribed spacer 1, and 5.8S ribosomal RNA". The stretch from base 1 to 73 matches the Rfam family "Eukaryotic small subunit ribosomal RNA", at positions 1759 to 1831 of the family's 1831-position model. Lineage: Eukaryota; Fungi. The record is from RNAcentral.
GCAAACUUGGUCAUUUAGAGGAAGUAGAAGCCGUAACAAGGUUUCCGUAGGUGAACCUGCGGAAGAGUCAUCAGCAAAGGUCCGUUCCUAUAAGGAACCGGACCCGCUUUUGACGACAUGUAUUCACGCUUCUGUAAAUUUCGCGUCCUGGACGCGUUAAAGUUGUGAAAGACCACUGGUAUCGGUGGCGCUUUAAUGCAAAACAAAACUUUCAACAACGGAUCUCUUGGCUCUCGCAUCGAUGAAGAACGCAGC